This 328-nucleotide unclassified non-coding RNA is filed under the name soil metagenome. Its description in RNAcentral is "partial contains 5.8S ribosomal RNA, internal transcribed spacer 2, and large subunit ribosomal RNA". The stretch from base 1 to 119 matches the Rfam family "5.8S ribosomal RNA", at positions 35 to 154 of the family's 154-position model. The record is from RNAcentral.
GAUGAAGAACGCAGCGAAAUGCGAUACGUAAUGUGAAUUGCAAAUUCAGUGAAUCAUCGAGUCUUUGAACGCACAUUGCGCCCCCUGGUAUCCCGAGGGGCAUGCCUGUUCGAGCGUCAUUUCACCACUCAAGCCUGGCUUGGUGUUGGGCGACGUCCCCUUUGGGGACGCGCCUCGAAACGCUCGGCGGCGUGGCACCGGCUUUAAGCGUAGCAGAAUCUUUCGCUUUGGAAGUCGGGGCCCCGUCUGCCGGAAGACCUACUCGCAAGGUUGACCUCGGAUCAGGCAGGGAUACCCGCUGAACUUAAGCAUAUCAAUAAGCGGAGGA